UAGAAUUGACCUAAGUAGUUAAAGACUGAUACUGGUGUUACUCGGACUCAAACCGGCGAGUGUAAGACUGAGCCCCAGUAGUUGAAGAACCAAACCACUGCUAGCAAGAAUCAAAUCGGUGAAUCCAAGCCUGUUGCCGGGUUAGUUAGGUCAUAGAGAUCAGAGGCUAGAUCCGAGGAUGGAGAGGCAAGAUCAGAGGCUAGAUCCGGAGCUGGCUUAGUCUCUUAUUGAACGGUGGAAGAAGAAGAGGCUUUUCAAGUCUGUUAGCAGCCCUAGGAAAGUAUAGUUUGGGUGUUGACGGGGUCAGUUAU
This 311-nucleotide long non-coding RNA is filed under the name Musa acuminata (dwarf banana). RNAcentral's name for it is "long non-coding RNA (MACU_LNC008856)". The record is from RNAcentral. Lineage: Eukaryota; Viridiplantae; Streptophyta; Magnoliopsida; Zingiberales; Musaceae.